AUGGGUCUGGUUCUGGUUAUCAUGAUCUUCAUAUUAUCAAUAGCUUUGCUGAUUUUCUGCAAGAAGAGAAGAUCCACCAAACCUAAAGUUCCUCCUGCAGAAACCAACCAUGCAGAAGUCACAGAGUCCAGCAGAGUGAUUGAGGAGAUCAGAGAGGACAGACAGAUCAGUUCUCCUCCUGUGGAAACAUCUUCAGUUCACUGCAACGCCAAAUACACCAAACCAAACAGAGCUGAAGACACCUCAGCUUAACCAUCUGUAAUCUGAGCAAACGCCCCCUGUGGUGAUGCAGAUAACAUCCUCUACUGCCCCUUCAGACAGAUGUGACGUCUGUCAACAACAUCAGAGAAGCUUCACCUCCUCUGGACUCUCCUGUUGUUCUACAUCAGUAGUGUAACAGUUGCAGCUGUUUUAGGAGAAUUUGUGACUCAUUCCUUUAUGUUAUAACUGUGCUGUCAAAAUGUUUUAGUUUAGCUUCUCUUCAAGCAUAAUUCUGCUGUAUUUCCAUUUGGUUUCAUUUCCAUUAUUGUGUCUCUGUGGGUCAUGAUAAGUUUGCAGAUUCAGAGAACUGAGGUGAACACAAAGUUAACACCACCCACAGAACCACAACAGUCACAUUAAAGGGAAAUACACCAGGUUGAAGUAAAUCAGAAUCAUCAUUUAAAUAAUUUCUUUAUAUACUAUUGCAGUAAUUUUGACGAAGUUUAUUGUUUUUAUUGAAAAUUUAAGUGUUUCUUGCAAAGUUCAAACUGUAAAGUUAGUCAGGAUAAUUCAUCUUUUAAAUGUUUUUUAAAUAUAUUUGCUAAAUAUGUUCCAUGUACAGAUGUGAAGAUCAGGUCUUUCUGUGAGCUGUUGUGUUGCUUUUUCAUAAAUAUAUAUGUUUUGUUAUUCAUGCUUUAAUGUCCUGCAAAAAAAAGAUAUUGCAAAAGUUGGUUUGCUAAAGCAUUUUAAAUAGCCAUCAUGUAGUCACCAUGACAACAACAAGCUGUAAACUGUUUAAAUAUGCAACAGUAACAAACCUCCUUCACUUUAUUCACCAA
Long non-coding RNA from Acanthochromis polyacanthus (spiny chromis), 1040 nucleotides. RefSeq lists it as uncharacterized. The record is from RefSeq and is a predicted model, not a curated record. NCBI's taxonomy places the organism in Eukaryota, Metazoa, Chordata, Actinopteri, Pomacentridae. The transcript has 4 exons.